GGACUUAGCAGCAGCAGCAGCAGCAGCAGCAGAGGUUGGCAAACGAUCAUGGAUUUGUUAUUUUUAAAUGUUUUUUUUUUAAUCAAAAGAUAGAAUUGCCUGAUAUGUGAACACUUGAUAGACUUCACCACCUCCGAAUACAGUUUUAUGGAGCCCAGCCACACCCACCUGUCUGCAUAUUGUGCACACCUCACACACUGUGCAUGGUGUGUUGGAGUUCCAGAGCCUCACACAGUGACCAUCUGCCCCUCUGCAGAAGCAGCUUGCCAAGCCCUGCCUGAGGUCACGGGGUAAAAAAGUCUUGUUCCCAUGUGUAAGGCCAUUCCCAGUGGCAAACAUCUGGGGGAGAAGGCGCCCCGCUGGCAAGUUAAGAAGGGGCCGAGGUCAACUCUGGCAUUAGUCCCCUUCCUUCUCCGGUAUGAGGAUGCGAAUGCCAGGAUGGCCUGCAGCUGGGGUCUUUCUAGAGAGACGGCGAGGACCCAGAGGGCCGAAAGAAUCAAAUCACCUUCCAGAAAUUAGCUGACUAAAUUGCUUGGAAAAUAGCUUUAACGACGGCUGCUGCUUAGGAAGUAAGUGAUUCUCCCUCUUUGCAGACUAACCCUCUUCCUACCUCUGGUCCGUGGUGGAGGGAGGUGCAUUCAAGGCUGUGAGUUCCCUGCAUGUUCCCAG
This 669-nucleotide long non-coding RNA is filed under the name Bos indicus x Bos taurus (hybrid cattle). Its description in RNAcentral is "lncRNA (ENSBIXG00005000955.1)". Lineage: Eukaryota; Metazoa; Chordata; Mammalia; Artiodactyla; Bovidae. The record is from RNAcentral.